GACGAACGCUGGCGGCGUGCCUAACACAUGCAAGUCGAACGGGGUGUUCCUUCGGGGACACUUAGUGGCGAACGGGUGAGUAACGCGUAUCCAACCUUCCCCCUACCCGGGUAUAGCCCGCCGAAAGGCGGAUUAAUCCCCGAUACGUCCCCUGACGGCAUCAGACGGGGACGAAAGGUAUUCCGGUAAGGGAUGGGGAUGCGUCCGAUUAGCUUGUUGGCGGGGUAACGGCCCACCAAGGCUACGAUCGGUAGGGGUUCUGAGAGGUUGACCGGCCACAUUGGGACUGAGACACGGCCCAGACUCCUACGGGAGGCAGCAGUGGGGAAUAUUGGGCAAUGGGCGCAAGCCUGACCCAGCAACGCCGCGUGAAGGAAGAAGGCUUUCGGGUUGUAAACUUCUUUUAUAAGGGACGAAACAAAUGACGGUACCUUAUGAAUAAGCCACGGCUAACUACGUG
RNAcentral lists this ribosomal RNA (460 nucleotides) under uncultured bacterium. RNAcentral's name for it is "bacterial SSU rRNA". It matches the Rfam family "Bacterial small subunit ribosomal RNA", at positions 28 to 507 of the family's 1533-position model. The record is from RNAcentral.